UAAUUUCUGUACAGUGCCAACUCAACACAGUAAACGGGGAUACUUUUUUCCAAAGUUGACAGCACAGCUAAAGUUUCAAAAAAUUCAAAUUAUAUAUCUGUAUAUAUAUAUAUAUUUAUAUUUAUAUAAAAAGACCAAUAAUAGCAGUGUGUUAUGCAUCAACAGCAGCAACAGCUUUUCCAGGUUCUGCAGUCAUCUGAACAAAACUGUAGAGACAUCCAGCACACUUCAUUAAAAAAAAAAAAGUAAAAAAACAAAACCCGAGAAAACAGCACAGUUCUGUUACUCUUGUGGUACCUGGCACCAUUUUUUUUUAAAUUAGCUUCUCAAUCAUCAUCUGGAAAGAAAACAUUCUGAGCAACAUCAUUAAAAACAGCUCUGAUAAAGCACGGUCACUACUACGUAUCAUAAAGCAGGUACAAGCUAUUUUACAUCCACAGAGGUAUGAUACAGUACUGUCCUACAUCUAUAAUACUAGAGGAUACAAUUUAAAAGGCAUUAUUUGAGACUUGAUUCUACUUUUCCAGCAGAGGGCCCAAAGGAUGGUGUGACAUAGCUUUGUAAAGAAACAUACUCUAGACAGGAUUUCCUUUCACUAGUGGCACAGUUCUAAGGAUUCAUUCUCUCCAUGAAUGUCAGCUAAAACCGUUAUUAAAAAAAUGAAAUAUUUACUCCUUGUAACUUAGCCAAAGGGGGAAGAAAAGACAAGAUGGGUUUCAGUAGGUAAAGGCGACUGAGAUCAUCAGUGGCGUGGACUCUGGGCUGAGGAGAGUAGGCAGAGCGAUCUGACGGAGCCUCACUCUAGCGAGGGGCAGGUGUGUGUCUGUAUGAAGAUACACAGCAGUAGGUAGACAGUUUAGGGA
This 863-nucleotide long non-coding RNA is filed under the name Rattus norvegicus (Norway rat). Its description in RNAcentral is "long non-coding RNA NONRATT016342". The record is from RNAcentral. Lineage: Eukaryota; Metazoa; Chordata; Mammalia; Rodentia; Muridae.